CUAGCUAAAUGUUUAGAAAUACAUAGUGAAAUGUUACAAAGAAAAUGAAGGAAACUAGAAUAUAAUGGAGAGGAUUUAUGCUUCAAAAUCGUGGCCAAGGUCCCCUUUUAUAGGCAAAGGAACAUCCAAAAUUCAAGUAGGCAAUGCAACUUGUUUCUGUCCAGCUUCAAGACAGCUGGAACAUGCAACUUGAUGCCAAUUUUCAGAUAUAUUGUGCAGCGAAUUUGGACUUAUGAUCAACAGAUAAAUUAUUGCCACUUGAGUUAGCUUUCCAUUGGUUCAAAUGUCAGGUUCAUUGGAUCUAUAUAACUCCAGAUAUGACAAAAACAAUAAGUGCUGCUUCACAGGUAAAGCUGUAUCCGGCAGGCAACAAGCUGGACUUUGCACGGUAAUUUUGGCUGCCUUGUGAUACGAAUUUGACUUCUUACAAAACAUGAAAGUUGUAGAAACGUGCCUUUCUUUCCAACCCAACUUGAAUCACCUCGAUCCAAUGUCUGAAGCUCAAGUUAUGAUUAUUUUACCAACAGCUGCUUCUUGCUUGAGGCAGUCACUAUUUUUGACUUUUCAACAUUAUUUUCCUCCACUUGCUCCACUUGUUCUAAUUUGGAAAUACAAGUGAAAUACAUCAAAUAGAUACUCUUUCAAAUGUAUAAUACUCAUGCCACCAUGUAUGUAAAUACGUAUUUCAAUUAAUU
This 695-nucleotide long non-coding RNA is filed under the name Olea europaea (common olive). RNAcentral's name for it is "long non-coding RNA (OEUR_LNC009528)". Lineage: Eukaryota; Viridiplantae; Streptophyta; Magnoliopsida; Lamiales; Oleaceae. The record is from RNAcentral.